RNAcentral lists this ribosomal RNA (468 nucleotides) under uncultured bacterium. RNAcentral's name for it is "partial 16S ribosomal RNA". It matches the Rfam family "Bacterial small subunit ribosomal RNA", at positions 28 to 507 of the family's 1533-position model. The record is from RNAcentral.
GACGAACGCUGGCGGCGUGCUUAACACAUGCAAGUCGAACGGAAAGGCCCUGCUUUUGUGGGGUGCUCGAGUGGCGAACGGGUGAGUAACACGUGAGUAACCUGCCCUUGACUUUGGGAUAACUUCAGGAAACUGGGGCUAAUACCGGAUAGGAGCUCCUGCUGCAUGGUGGGGGUUGGAAAGUUUCGGCGGUUGGGGAUGGACUCGCGGCUUAUCAGCUUGUUGGUGGGGUAGUGGCUUACCAAGGCUUUGACGGGUAGCCGGCCUGAGAGGGUGACCGGCCACAUUGGGACUGAGAUACGGACCAGACUCCUACGGGAGGCAGCAGUGGGGAAUAUUGCACAAUGGGCGGAAGCCUGAUGCAGCAACGCCGCGUGCGGGAUGACGGCUUUCGGGUUGUAAACCGCUGUCGCCUGUGACGAAGCGUGAGUGACGGUAAUGGGUAAAGAAGCACCGGCUAACUACGUG